This 1909-nucleotide long non-coding RNA is filed under the name Fragaria vesca (wild strawberry). RNAcentral's name for it is "long non-coding RNA (FVES_LNC004956)". Lineage: Eukaryota; Viridiplantae; Streptophyta; Magnoliopsida; Rosales; Rosaceae. The record is from RNAcentral.
AAAUAUAAAAAUAUAACAUCAAAAAAACAUUAUAUUAUAUAUCUAUAAUACAUGUAUAUUAUAAAAAAAAAAUACAUGUAUAUUAUAUAAAUAAUCUAUAUGUAAAUGAUUUAGAGAAAUUAUUUGUAUAUAAAUUAUUUUUUGGACGAAUUAUAGAAAAUUUUGAUGAAUUAUAUCUGAAUUAUCUUAUAUUAGUGUUUUCUUUUUGAUGAAUUAUAAUUUCUUUUUGGACGAAUUAGGGUUAGGGUUAGAGUUUAAUUGACAAAACUAAUUAUUAUUUAAAAAAUAGUUAAUCUUCAUAUUGAUGUAAGAAACAUUCCUUAUAUUAUACAUAAUUAGUGGUUGCUAUUAAUAUGUAAUAUUUGUUUCCAUUACCUAAUAAAAUACAUUAAUAUCGUUGAUUCACCCCUUAAAAUGUAGGAUUAAUUUCAGUUUACCCCCAUCAACUUUAGGUCGAUCAUCAUGUUAGUCAUUCUUCUUUCAAUUUCAUCAAAAACACCCCUCAACUCCCAAUUUUCAUCAGCCGCGCAUGUCCAAACCUUCAAUCUCCAUCCAAUUCCUCUGUCAAGUGAUGACUUGAUAUCAAAAAGAAAGAAAAAAAGGAAAAAUAGACAAAUUGCAUUCAAUCCCACCAAAAUCAUUAAGGUUAGGGGGUUGUGAUUGGAACGAAGAUGUGUAUCAAUAUGGGGGAAAAAUGGGCCGAAAUGUAACUUUCAGAAUUUGACUUUCUUCUUGAUAUCAAGUCAUCACUUGACAGAGGAAUUAGAUGGAGAUUAGAGGUUUGGACAUGCGUAGCUGAUGAAAAUUGGGAGUUGAGGGAUGUUUUUGAUGAAAUUGAAAGAAGAAGGACUAACAUGAUGAUCGACUUAAAGUUGAUGGGGAUAAACUGAAAUUAGCCCUGUAAAAGGAAAUAGAAAUGGUAAAAUUGGUAAUGCAAUGUUUUGAUUUGGCAAGAUAUAUUAUGUGGAAUCGAAAAUAAAUAUUUUUAUUUACUUACAUGACAUGACACAUAAGAUUAAGGCCACAAAUUUUAGGCCUUAUUAAGACCCUCUAGCGCUACUCUACUAAUAACUACACAUUUAUAUUAUUAUUAAGAGGAAAUUUUGAAAUCGCCAGGGGAGAUAUAUCCGUUUAGGUUAGUAAAACGGGUAGGGGAGAUAUAUCUCCAAUAUAUAUAUAUAUAUACAGAUUUUCUUAGGUGCGGAUGUCCGCAUUUAUUCUUACGGUGCGGAUUUCCACUUUACACUGACUUUUCAAUCGAAUUUUUACAUCUCCAUCGUCUAGUAUUUAGAUACUAAUGUAUAAAUCAUCUCUGCAAAAUUUCAGCCAAUUUGGUUAUCAUUAAGGCACUCAAACUGCAUUUUUCAGUAGAUGAACAUAAUUCUGUCGAACUUAAACAGUUUAUGUUUAUAACAAAAAAACGCAGUUUUGAGUGCCUUAAUGAUAACCAAAUUGGCUGAAAUUUUGCAUAGAUGAUCUAUACAUUGAUAACCAAUUGGCUGAAAUUUUGCAUAGAUGAUCUAUACAUUAGUAUCUAAAUACUAGGCGGUGGAGAUGUGAAAAUUCGAUUGAAAAGUGAGUGUAAAGUGGAAAUCCGCACCGUAAGAAUAAAUGUGAACAUCUGCAGUUGAGAAGCGUUAUAUAUAUAUAUAUACAGUUCGGAUCAGAGGAGGACGUCCGCACGCCCUUAAAGUGCGGACGUCCCUCCAUUCGCCACCGUACGACGCCGGCGAGGGCGCGUCUCCACUCCAGCAGCGUCCCCGAUCACUUUCCCUCCCCGGCAAGUCUGCCGAAUUACAGUUUUUUGACGAGAUCGAUUUUGUAUGAAGUUUUGGGUGAUCUCGCCGGAAAACUGGAAUUUGGCGGACUCACCGAUGAGGGAAAGUGAUUGAGGACGUUGCUGGGGUGG